GACGAACGCUGGCGGCGUGCUUAACACAUGCAAGUCGAACGGAAAGGCCCUGCUUUUGUGGGGUGCUCGAGUGGCGAACGGGUGAGUAACACGUGAGUAACCUGCCCUUGACUUUGGGAUAACUUCAGGAAACUGGGGCUAAUACCGGAUAGGAGCUCCUGCUGCAUGGUGGGGGUUGGAAAGUUUCGGCGGUUGGGGAUGGACUCGCGGCUUAUCAGCUUGUUGGUGGGGUAGUGGCUUACCAAGGCUUUGACGGGUAGCCGGCCUGAGAGGGUGACCGGCCACAUUGGGACUGAGAUACGGCCCAGACUCCUACGGGCGGCAGCAGUGGGGAAUAUUGCACAAUGGGCGGGAGCCUGAUGCAGCAACGCCGCGUGCGGGAUGACGGCCUUCGGGUUGUAAACCGCUUUCGCCUGUGACGAAGCGUGAGUGACGGUAAUGGGUAAAGAAGCACCGGCUAACUACGUG
This 468-nucleotide ribosomal RNA is filed under the name uncultured bacterium. RNAcentral's name for it is "partial 16S ribosomal RNA". It matches the Rfam family "Bacterial small subunit ribosomal RNA", at positions 28 to 507 of the family's 1533-position model. The record is from RNAcentral.